Molecule: non-coding RNA, 1600 nt
Organism: Candidatus Nomurabacteria bacterium
Lineage: Bacteria; Candidatus Nomuraibacteriota
Source: Rfam
UUUUAGUAGAGUUUGAUCCUAGCUCAGGAUGAACGCUGGCGGCGUGGAUAAGGCAUGCAAGUCGAACGGAUUUUCUAUUUCUCGAGAUGAGAUUAUAUCAAGUCAAAGGUCGUAGAAGAUUAGUGGCAAACGAGGUAGUAACACGUGGGAACUCACCCCAAAGUCGGGCAUAAUUCGCCGAAAGGCGGACUAAUUCCCGAUGGUCUGGAUGUUACACUAAGAUUUUAAUUUUGUUAUCAGCUUUGCGAGAGUAGCUCGCUUCGCGAGGAACAGAAUUCUAUUGAAAUCUUAGUGUAGCAUCCAGUAAAGAUUUUUCGCUUUGGGAGAGGCCUGCGGAGUAUCAGCUAGUUGGUAGGGUAACGGCCUACCAAGGCUAUGACGCUUAGGGGAGGUGAGAGCCUGACCCCCACCGAUGGAACUGCGACACGGUCCAUACACCUACGGGUGGCAGCAGCCGAGAAUAUUCGACAAUGGGCGAAAGCCUGAUCGAGUGACGCCGCGUGGUGGAUGAAGUCCUUAGGGACGUAAACACCUUUUGUCGGGGAAGAAGUUUAUUGACAUUACCCGAAGAAUAAGAGGCUCCUAAUCUCGUGCCAGCAGGAGCGGUAAUACGAGAGCCUCGAGUGUUAUCCGGAUUUAUUGGGCGUAAAGGGUGCGUAGGUUGUCUGGUUAGUCUUUUGUUAAAGACCGCCGCCUAACGGCGGGAAUGUGGAAGAAACGGCCAGACUAGAGAGUGUGAGGGGUGUACGGAACUCAUGGUGUAGGGGUGAAAUCCGUUGAUAUCAUGGGGAACACCAAAAGCGAAGGCAGUACACUGGCACAUUUCUGACACUGAAGCACGAAAGCGUGGGUAGCGAAUGGGAUUAGAUACCCCAGUAGUCCACGCCCUAAACGAUGAUGACUCGCUCUUCGGAGUAUCGACCCUCUGAGGGGCUUAGCUAACGCGUUAAGUCAUCCGCCUGGGAAUUACGGCCGCAAGGCUAAAACUCAAAGGAAUAGACGGGGACUCGCACAAGCAGUGGAUCAUGUGGUUCAAUUCGACGGUAAACGAAAAACCUUACCAGGGCUAGAAACCCAAUCGAAGUCUCCGGGAAACCGGGGGCGUCCGCAAGGACGGUUGAGCAGGUGCUGCAUGGCCGUCGUCAGCUCGUGGCUUGAGUUGUACCCUUAAGUGGGGUAACGAGCGCAACCCUUGUCGUCUGUUAUAGAUGUCAGGCGAGACUGCCCAGCCCUAAUUUUCCGAAUAUAUAGUUCACUUAGUGAUAAAUUAUCACUGAGCGCACUUAAUGUCUUAAAUUUUUGUCUGAAAGACAAAAAUUUGUAAUAAGUUAGUGGGAAAAUUAGGGCUGGGAGGAAGGAGAGGAUGACGCCAGGUCAGCAUGGCCCUAGAUGCCCUGGGCUACACACAUGAUACAAUGGUCACUACAAUGGGUUGCCAAGCCGCGAGGCGGAGCUAAUCCUAAUAAAAGUGGCCCCAGUUCGGAUUGGAGUCUGAAACUCGACUCCAUGAAGUUGGAAUUGCUAGUAAUCGCAGGUCAGCACACUGCGGUGAAUACGUUCUCGAGUCUUGUACUCGGGUCGCCAUGCGAUCGUGUACACU